RNAcentral lists this long non-coding RNA (219 nucleotides) under Brassica napus (rape). RNAcentral describes it as "long non-coding RNA (BNAP_LNC023728)". The record is from RNAcentral. Lineage: Eukaryota; Viridiplantae; Streptophyta; Magnoliopsida; Brassicales; Brassicaceae.
GCGCUCAUCGCUCCUGUUUUUCUUCCAUGUGCUUCUUGCAGGUACUAUUGCUUUGAUGUGGGUUGUAGUGAUCGUUUUUGAUUAGUGACGGGCUGUCAAUUGGGUACUCGUAUUGUGCUCUCGUUCGAUGUUAGCUGCUCCGGAGGUGUGUACCCUUUCGGUCCCUCUGUUCUAUAUGAACCUUCGGUUAAAAGGGUGUAUACGGUCACGGUAGGCGGA